Molecule: microRNA precursor, 76 nt
Filed under: Nicotiana attenuata
Lineage: Eukaryota; Viridiplantae; Streptophyta; Magnoliopsida; Solanales; Solanaceae
Description: MIR6152 microRNA precursor family
Rfam family: MIR6152 microRNA precursor family
Source: Rfam by way of RNAcentral
UGGACAGAUUAUUGUAUUCGACUUUAUUCACACUGUUUUUAAACGGAAAGUGAAUCAGUUAACAUAAUAGACUCCU